RNAcentral lists this long non-coding RNA (1677 nucleotides) under Junco hyemalis (dark-eyed junco). RNAcentral's name for it is "lncRNA (ENSJHYG00000002005.1)". The record is from RNAcentral. Lineage: Eukaryota; Metazoa; Chordata; Aves; Passeriformes; Passerellidae.
GUUUUUAAAUAUUUAUUGCUAUUCCAACUGAUGACUAUUCAACAACAACUCAUACUUUAUUUACUUGUUUGCUAUUUAAACAUAUACCUAAAGAGAUUUUUCACUUUUCUUGCACAGAUACUAGGAGAAUGGCUGCUCUUUGUACCAAUGCCCUUGUUUAUCUUCAAGCAGAAGUAUUUGAGACACGACAAGAAAUGCAUGUUUCUCAUUGCUUUCCAGCUACUCUUCUUCAUCAAUUAUUGCUAUUACUCCUAUUGCUACAGAGUCAGACGGUCUUGGGCAAUUGGGUACAAUUACUGUGUGACCUGGGUGAGAGCUGUUCUGGCUUGCUGAGUUAGGUGAUCUAACUCUGUAGGUCAGCAGCAGGAUCUACAAGGCUUUAUCCAGCCCUAUGGGAACGAGGAUCUGCUGCGAAGGUCUCCCAGAAGCCAGUGGAUGUUUUUGAAGUCUGAUGUCUUCUGAAAACAUGCCUGGGUUGUUCUUCAGUGAGAUACAAAUGCCUGGGGGAAGGCUCUUUCCUCAGCCCAGCUUCCCCUCUUGGCUGCAACUUUGGAGGCUCUCCUCAUGCUUUUUUUCCACCCAGGAGAGCAGUCUCCAACUGCAGCUGCCCAGGAGAAUAUCCGAUUGCAGAAGGCAUGAAAGUCGGUAUCUACUGCAACCAUCCAACCACAGCGAAUCCACGUUUUAUUUCUACCUAAUUCAUCUGCUGCACACCCUUUUAAACCAAUCAAGGGGGCUACAAAAUUUGCCCUUGCUCAGAUAGGGUACAACACCACGAGAAGAUCAGAGAAGCUGGGCAGGGAACAAAAUAGCUGCUUGCCUUUUCCAAAAAGGAUCAAAUUCCUUUUCUCUGAUAUUCCAUGCUGGGCCCUGAUGGUAGAGGGCUAUUAAUAGGAGAAUGCAUGAGGAGGGUGAUAGGUAUAGCCCACAGGUUUUCAUCCCUGUUGAAGGAUGUUAGUUUGCUUCAUCUGGGUCUCUCUGCUCUCACAAGAUUUGUCCUCAUGGAUCUACACACUUGGAACAGGCUGUACCAGCAGUUCCAGUCACUCUGGGGCUUCAGCCUCAAGUUGUGCAAAACUGCAGACAUGAACAGUGCAAAACUGUCGUUAGCUAUUUGUUAAAUCAGGAAAAGAAAAAGCACAAUAUGUCACCAUCCUGACACCUAGCCUAGUACAUGAGUUUGUCCUGAAGGCAGCCAUAUAUAUGUUUGUCUCUAUAUCACAGAAUCUGAGUUAAUUUAGUUGUUGGGGUAUUUUUUAUGCCAAGGAUAAUAAGCAAAAGGGCUCCACACCCAGCAGUAAUUUCGUAGAGUGGUGUCAUGAAUGUGGACCAAGUUUAUGGAAACAGAUUUUUAUUGUGCUUAUGCCUUUUCUGGUAAUAUCUAGAUUAACAGUAGAGGUGACAGGCCAUAUAAUCCAUAAAAGGCAAAUUCUACAUCACCAUAGUUUCACAAAAUGAAACUCCCCUGUAUAAUGUUAGAGUAGCAUAGACAUGUAUUAAAAGUGAAUGUAUCUUUCUGACAGCUAAAAAACAAAGGCCUCCCUCACCUCUCUUUUAAUAGCAGUGGCACUGGAAAAGUCAUUAGUUUUACUGCCGUCCUUAAGGCUAAAAGGCGAGCACAUGAGACUCUUUGGUCUUUUAAAUAAAAUGAACUUUAUUGCAAAAUGUUUGUUCUUU